This is a long non-coding RNA of Musa acuminata AAA Group (dessert banana), 1179 nucleotides long. RefSeq lists it as uncharacterized. NCBI's taxonomy places the organism in Eukaryota, Viridiplantae, Streptophyta, Magnoliopsida, Zingiberales, Musaceae. The transcript is spliced from 2 exons. The record is from RefSeq and is a predicted model, not a curated record.
GAGAGGGUGGAGGUCAUCAGCGUGUCUCGGAGUCCAUUUCGGUGGAGAGGAGGCUUAUCUGGAAUCCCCUCCACAAGCAGCAACAGUGCUGCCCACCUGCAAGUGGGAUUCGGUGCUUAUCUGCUCGACCGAAAUGCCAAGGCUUCAGCUGCCGACUUCGACUGUGGCCAAAGCAGCAGCAGCAACAGCUGCUGCUGCGUGGUCCAUGUUCUCAUCAUCAUCAUCAUCAUCACCAUCACCCUUCUUGCUGCCAUUCGAGGCCACAGCGGCGCCGGCUGUCAGGAUAACUCCAACCCUCGCAGGCUUCGGUUCCACACGUUGCUUCGCUGUUGUCGCCGCCGCCGGCCGAAGGCGAUGGCACCGAAAAGGCUGGCGAGACGAGCAAGUCUUCGCUACCUCGUCGUCUCUCGUUCGGCCUCUCAAAUCGCAUCCCCCCCAUUGCACACAUUUUGGCCACCAAGCUGUUCUUCCGUGUCUGCAUACGGAGAAGAAACACAACAUCGAACUCCGCAAGUAACGUGUUCGACCAAAUGACACCGUCACGUCGAGGCGGAGUUACUUGACCCAACCACUCCUCCGACUCCAUUUUCUCCGGCAUUAGCAGCCGCAGACUCGAUCGUUUGCAGCAGCGACCCACGAGUAGAGAGAGUGCACCGAGAACCGGUGACGAAGUCACGAGUCAGAGUUGAGGGGCUUUGACAAGUCUAAGAUCUCCAGGGUCGAUGCUUCAAAUCUAGAGAGUGACAGAGAGAUGCGUGUGAGACUGAGACUGUCGAAGAGUUUGGCCAGGAGAUACCAGUGAUUCGUACAAGGUUGGGAGCUGAAACCAUCGCCGAUCACAUCCGUAGUAUCGAUCAUCACGGACUUCAAACUUUUUGUCUUCGUCGAUAGAACAAAUAAAUAACUAUUAUCGACGAGAUCGUAUAAAUAUUAUUGGCAAGGCAACAAGUAAAACCACUUUCUAAGCUUUGGAUCACCAGACGACGGAGCUGUAGGGUUCAUCGGAGGGGGACGCUUCACAUAUAUUUGUGUUGUAUGGGCACUUGUGCGUGCAGAUUUUGGUGGGGGGCAAUGGACCGGCAUAGCUGCUAUGUGAAUGAUGGAAAGUUGGAAGAGACUUAGUUACCUGGAUCCGUGGCCUUUGCCAAGUAAUGAAAUAUUUGUGGAGUGAUGGUGUUC